GGGCAUGCCUGUUUGAGUAUCAUGAACACCUCAACUCCUCAUGGUUUGCCGUGACGAGCUUGGACUUUGGAGGUCUUUGCUGGCCUGUGGUCAGCUCCUCUCAAAUGAAUCAGCUUGCCAGUGUUUGGUGGCAUCGCAGGUGUGAUAACUAUCUACGCUUGUGGUGUUCUGCCAGAUCACCUUCAGCAAUGGAGGUUCACUGGAGCUCACAAAUGUCUCUCCUCAGUGGGGACAGCUCUCUGAAUGUUUGAUCUCAAAUCAGGUAGGACUACCCGCUGAACUUAAGCAUAUCAAUAAGCGGAGG
This 304-nucleotide ribosomal RNA is filed under the name uncultured Tomentella. RNAcentral's name for it is "eukaryotic LSU rRNA". The stretch from base 249 to 304 matches the Rfam family "Eukaryotic large subunit ribosomal RNA", at positions 1 to 56 of the family's 3401-position model. Lineage: Eukaryota; Fungi; Basidiomycota; Agaricomycetes; Thelephorales; Thelephoraceae. The record is from RNAcentral.